CACUCAGCCAUCUUUCC
This 17-nucleotide transfer RNA is filed under the name Urtica trichantha. Its description in RNAcentral is "partial tRNA-Ser". The record is from RNAcentral. Lineage: Eukaryota; Viridiplantae; Streptophyta; Magnoliopsida; Rosales; Urticaceae.